Molecule: ribosomal RNA, 497 nt
Filed under: uncultured bacterium
Lineage: Bacteria
Description: partial 16S ribosomal RNA
Rfam family: Bacterial small subunit ribosomal RNA
Source: RNAcentral
GAUGAACGCUGGCGGCGUGCCUAAUACAUGCAAGUCGAGCGAACGGACGAGAAGCUUGCUUCUCUGAUGUUAGCGGCGGACGGGUGUGUAACACGUGGAUCACCUACCUCUAAGACUGGGAUAACUUCGGGAAACCGGAGCUUAUACCGGAUAAUCUUUUGAACCGCAUGGUUCAAAAGUGAAAGACGGCCUUGCUGUCACUUAUCGAUGGAUCCGCGCUGCAUUAGCUAGUUGGUAAGGUAACGGCUUACCAAGGCAACGAUGCAUAGCCGACCUGAGAGGGUGAUCGGCCACACUGGAACGGAGACACGGUCCAGACGCCUACGGGAGGCAGCAGUAGGGAAUCUUCCGCAAUGGGCGAAAGCCUGACGGAGCAACGCCGCGUGAGUGAUGAAGGUCUUCGGAGCGUAAAGCUCUGUUAUUAGGGAAGAACAGAUGUGUAAGUAACUGUGCACAUCUUGACGGUACCUAAUCAGAAAGCCACGGCUAACUACGUG